This 3127-nucleotide long non-coding RNA is filed under the name Sus scrofa (pig). Its description in RNAcentral is "lncRNA (ENSSSCG00000062499.1)". The record is from RNAcentral. Lineage: Eukaryota; Metazoa; Chordata; Mammalia; Artiodactyla; Suidae.
AAAGGGCCACACCAGGGGAGCGUUUAUAAAGUGGGUCACAAGGGAGCAAGACCAAGGGUAGACUGCAGGUGGAUCAUCUAAAGCUGGGAGCUGAAGGUGAGAGGCUAGCAAAAGCAGCUGUGCACAAGCCCCUGGAGGAGUGAGAGGGAAUCAACAAACAAGCUUGAUAGUAGCAGGGGAGAGGAUUUCUGGGAGAGGAUGUUAAUGUCAACUGUUUCAUGACUUUAAGGUAGAUGGGGUUGCAGCUGAUGAUCUCCCAGAGAGCAGCUCCUGUCCAGUAAUGAGAAAGGACAGCUGGCUAAAGGCUAUGACAGAAUGAAGUGGCCCUGCUCAUCAUGAUGGUAAAGAGGAGAAGCUUCAGGAGUGGCUUUAGAAGAAAGAAAAUUCAUUCAUAAUUGUAUCUGAAGUUUAUUUUUUCAGAUCCAUUACAUAAUGUAUGCCUUUCAGAUGGAUCACAUACUGAGCACCAGAAUUGUAAUAAGAUGGGUUAUUCGGGGGCUUUUAAUAAAGGGAGGCAUAGCAGAGACCUGACUUUUAGCAAAGGCAAAAAACCUAUCAACUAACUAUCUCAUUAUGAAUUAUGCUAUUCAUUUCAUUUAUCAUUUAUACUCAAUACUGGAUUGAAAGAAGCUUUCAUAAGCAGUUCUAUAAGAGUUAAGUUCAGGCUUCGUAGAACAAAAAAGCACGGCAUUUUUAGACAAAGAUACCAUUUUUUACUGGAUGAGGUCUCCACAGCUUGAGGAAAGAGAGUCAUGUUUUGGUGGUUAAGUCUUUGGGGAAGACAGAAAUGGGUGUUAAGGAGAAUUUUUGCGUCUCCAAAGCGUUUAUAAUAUGUAAGACUAAUAAGGAGAAGGCAGGCAGUCCAGAGAAAGCACUGAGUAAAUUGCAUGUUGUGGAGGAGUGCUUGGGGAGUUUUGAGAGGGCCAGAAAUAGAACUGUUUCUCAAACUUUCUAGGCAGACCAGGUGCCACCCAGUACAGGACUGUUUUCUCUAUGCACAGCUGGCUGUGGGUGGAACAGUUGUACCCACCGAGGCUGUGAAUUGAAAACCUAUUUCUUUGAAAUUGCCUUGGUUAGAAAGUAUUUUCUUCCUCAGUUCACCCACCAGUCAGCAAAGGGCACUGGAUAUUUUCCAUGUCUAGAACCACUGAGGACAGGGAAGCUCUCUGCUGCUCCCUUCCACUGGAUCCACCCCUCCAUCUAUAAUAUUUUAUACUUCAUUAAAUAUAUUUGUUUAACCUUGACAGCAGGAAUUCUGUCUCUGUUUUACAGAGGGAGGACCCAAAGGCUCAAAGGGGUUGAAGGAAAUUAUCCUGACUACUGAGAGGUGAUGGAGAGGCGCAGUGCAUAGGGAUGGACGGUUUGGGGGCAAAGUGCCAGUAGCAAUUAUUUACUCCUCAUAUACUCCCCCCCAUUUUGGGGGAGCAUAUCUCAGGCAUGUGGAAGUUACCAGGCCAAAGAUUGAACUCGCACCACAGCAGUGACCUGAGCCACAGCACUGGCAACACCAGAUCCUUAACCCACUGAACCACCAGGGAACUCCCCUAUACCUCCGCCUUUAGGGGGAAUUCCCCUAUACCUCUGCCUUUAGUUCUUCUACCCAAGAAAGAAGAACAUCAUAUUCUAGUCAAUAUUUCGUGGGACACUUGGUACUUUUACCAAUGGUAAGGUCUCUGUGGCCCAGGGACAGAAACAAGUGAUCCUCUUUCUUCUUCAAGUUCUUAGAAGGUGGCUCUCUUCUGACUUUGUCUCUUGUCAUACAUACAUACAUCUGGGCAAGUGGGGCAGCCAGUCAUGCCAUCCUCACCACAGAGGCUGUGGGCGAGAUGGUUAAAGGUGAGUUCUGGAGGGCAUAACACCCAGGUUCAAAUCUCAAAUCUGCACUUACUUUUCUACAGUUGCUCUGCUCAUGGUUGUGUAGCAAAAGCCAGACAAAACCCACCACACAGCACAGUGGCUUCGUGGUGACUGUGUUUCCCAGGGUGUGCAAGGGCAUUCGUCAGAGCAGAGAAGAAGUAAUUAGAGCCUUUCUUGAUUACUUUUCAAAUAAAAAGUAUAGCUUCUCUAAUAGUCAGUAUAUGAAUUAACACCGGCUCCCACACCCCUUGACAUCUCAGCCAGUGACCCAAGCCCUUGAGGCAUCCUGAAGGAAAAAUGGAAGUUUCUCAAGUGGAGGUGUUGACAGUGCUGCCCUCACUCAUUUGAUUUUAUGAUCUUGUGACAAAAGUGUGGUUUAUUUGCCACUUAUUGCCACCAAGGUGGUUAUUUUCAUAAAAGCAAGACCUGGAAAUAUUAUUUUUAAAUGCUUUGCAGUGAGAAGGGAAGUGACUUUGAAAAUCUCUUCCACACAAAGCUUUGCCAUUUAUCUUGCAGCAAAAUAUUUAAAACAGUUGUUCAAAUGUAAAAGUUAUAUAUUUUUACUUUAUGAAAGGGUGAUAACUAUUUUAAAUUUUCUAAAUAUUUUUGUGAGGGAAAUGGCCUUCAACAGUGCGCUAUUUAGGAUAUAUAUAUCCCACAAAAUCUGUCCUUCUUGAAGGUAAAGAUGACAUUUAAACAAUAAGAAAGUAAAUGCUACUUUUAAAAAACAUCUCACUACAGUGAGAACACUUCAAAAGUGAAUAUUUGCAAAUGCUUCCACUGCUGUGUGAUUUUAUUACUAAAAAUAAUGUCACCUAUAAAAACCCUUAUAUUUACAAACUCUAUGUACUUAUAGGAUGGGGAAACUGAAUUUCCUAACCUGCUUUAAAAAUCAUCCAAAUGACAUUAUUCAGUGAAUUCUGAACUGGUUUUCAAAAAUCAGGAAAAAAUGCCUUUCAGUUUGUGUGUAAGAACAACUCAUUAAUAUUAAGGAAGAUGGAAAUUUUGCUGUCUAAAUUUUGGCGAAAAAGUUUGUAUAAUUGGUAUAUGGCACUGGAUUUUAUGAUUUUGUAAGCAUAGCUAGUGAUAUACUUUUAUUUGAAACUAUGCAUAUUUUGAGCUGUCUUUGCAAUAAUGAUUGCACAUAAGAUCAAAUAUUCAAAUAAACUGGACUCAAUACCACACCUUCAAAUAGCCGAAUCACAAAGUUUAAGUCAAAUAAAAAAAAUAAUAAAACUUUUUUUUACCACAUUUAUUACAGACAGUAUUG